GUUGUUGGGUAGGGGAGCGUUCUGUAAGCCGUUGAAGGUGACCUGUGAGGGUUGCUGGAGGUAUCAGAAGUGCGAAUGCUGACAUAAGUAACGAUAAUGCGGGUGAAAAACCCGCACGCCGGAAGACCAAGGGUUCCUGUCCAACGUUAAUCGGGGCAGGGUGAGUCGACCCCUAAGGCGAGGCUGAAAAGCGUAGUCGAUGGGAAACAGGUUAAUAUUCCUGUACUUGGUGUUACUGCGAAGGGGGGACGGAGAAGGCUAGGCUGGCCGGGCGACGGUUGUCCCGGUUUAAGCGUGUAGGGGGAGUGACCAGGUAAAUCCGGUUGCUUAUCAACCCUGAGGCGUGAUGACGAUGCACCACGGUGCAGAAGCAGUUGAUGCCAUGCUUCCAGGAAAAGCCUCUAAGCAUCAGGUAACAUUAAAUCGUACCCCAAACCGACACAGGUGGUCAGGUAGAGAAUACUCAGGCGCUUGAGAGAACUCGGGUGAAGGAACUAGGCAAAAUGGUGCCGUAACUUCGGGAGAAGGCACGCUGGCGUUAGGUGAAAGGACUAGCUCCUGGAGCUGAAGCCAGUCGCAGAUACCAGCUGGCUGCAACUGUUUAAUAAAAACACAGCACUGUGCAAACACGAAAGUGGACGUAUACAGUGUGACGCCUGCCCGGUGCUGGAAGGUUAAUUGAUGGGGUCAGCCGCAAGGCGAAGCUCUUGAUCGAAGCCCCAGUAAACGGCGGCCGUAACUAUAACGGUCCUAAGGUAGCGAAAUUCCUUGUCGGGUAAGUUCCGACCUGCACGAAUGGCGUAAUGAUGGCCAGGCUGUCUCCACCCGAGACUCAGUGAAAUUGAACUCGCUGUGAAGAUGCAGUGUACCCGCGGCAAGACGGAAAGACCCCGUGAACCUUUACUAUAGCUUGACACUGAACAUUGAGCCUUGAUGUGUAGGAUAGGUGGGAGGCCUUGAAGUGUGGACGCCAGUCUGCAUGGAGCCAACCUUGAAAUACCACCCUUUAAUGUUUGAUGUUCUAACUCGGCCCCAUGAUCUGGGGUGAGGACAGUGUCUGGUGGGUAGUUUGACUGGGGCGGUCUCCUCCCAAAGAGUAACGGAGGAGCACGAAGGUUAGCUAAUCACGGUCGGACAUCGUGAGGUUAGUGCAAAGGCAUAAGCUAGCUUGACUGCGAGAGUGACGGCUCGAGCAGGUACGAAAGUAGGUCUUAGUGAUCCGGUGGUUCUGAAUGGAAGGGCCAUCGCUCAACGGAUAAAAGGUACUCCGGGGAUAACAGGCUGAUACCGCCCAAGAGUUCAUAUCGACGGCGGUGUUUGGCACCUCGAUGUCGGCUCAUCACAUCCUGGGGCUGAAGUAGGUCCCAAGGGUAUGGCUGUUCGCCAUUUAAAGUGGUACGCGAGCUGGGUUUAGAACGUCGUGAGACAGUUCGGUCCCUAUCUGCCGUGGGCGUUGGAAGAUUGAGAGGGGCUGCUCCUAGUACGAGAGGACCGGAGUGGACGAAUCACUGGUGUUCGGGUUGUCAUGCCAAUGGCAUUGCCCGGUAGCUAAAUUCGGAAGAGAUAACCGCUGAAAGCAUCUAAGCGGGAAACUUGCCUCGAGAUGAGUCUUCCCUGGGGCUUAAAGCCCCCUGAAGGAACGUUAAAGACUAUGACGUUGAUAGGCUGGGUGUGUAAGUGCAGCGAUGUAUUGAGCUAACCAGUACUAAUGAUCCGUGAGGCUUAACCUUACAACACCGAAGGUGUUU
RNAcentral lists this ribosomal RNA (1748 nucleotides) under Yersinia pestis. Its description in RNAcentral is "partial 23S ribosomal RNA". It matches the Rfam family "Bacterial large subunit ribosomal RNA", at positions 1220 to 2925 of the family's 2925-position model. Lineage: Bacteria; Pseudomonadati; Pseudomonadota; Gammaproteobacteria; Enterobacterales; Yersiniaceae. The record is from RNAcentral.